CGCACUCGCCCCUCCCCCGCGGCCAGCUCCUACCGCCUCGCCUCUCUCUCUCUCCCUCCAAACCCUAGAACCUCACCCGCACCUCCCAGCCCCGCCGCCGUCCAGGUCCAGCCCCAUGCCGCCGUCGUCUUCUCGCCCAGCCGGCCGCCGCCGCACCGCACGCUCGUGCGCAGGGGUGAGAAGGGGAACCACCGCUCGCUCCUGAAGCGCGAGGAGGACGUGGUGAUGCAGCGCCCAGAUCCACGGCGGCAUCGACGCGCCGUCGUCGACCUGAGCCGCCACCGUCCUCGAGGUCGGCCAUGGAGGGGGGUCCGACCCAGCUGCAGCCGUGGACGGAGACACCCCAAACCCUAGCAUGGGGACCGAGCCGCCAUGGAAGGAGGCCAGCGGCGAGGACGACGCCAUGGUCCCUGCUGUGCUCCCGGAUCCGUCGCCCAUCUGCCCCGACCUGGCCCUUCUCCUUCCCGCCGGCCAAGCGGAGCCGCUCGUGUCGCUGCUCUACCUGACGAGGGCAUUGUGCAGGGGAGGUACCGGCGACGACGUCGAUAAGGCAGCGGGAGGUUGCCCUCCAGUAGAGGAGCGGGAAGCCUCACUGUGACACGCCUCCUUCUCCACCAACCCAUGUUUGAGCAUUUGUUGAGGGACUACAUGAGGAGGUGACGAGGUACACAGGCAAUUGGAUCAAUACUGCAUGAGUGUGUAUGUAUUGGGUGGAGUGAGGAGCCUAGCCAAUUUAGUACUGUUGGUCCUUCUGGUGUGAUUAUUGGCUGGAUUUUUUGCAUCUGAGAUUAUACGAAAAUGGACAUAUCCAUGGAAAUCUUCCUCCUAUUGCAGUUGCCUGUCAUUGUGAAGAUAUUUGCAAGCAAGAUGACCACCCUUUCUCUUGGAUCACCUCCUAGCCGCCGGCAUCUUCGCCGCAAGUUGCUUGGUUUGCUGCCCACUACAACGCGAUUGGCAACCCGCUAUUGCUUACAUGUCUGCUCGGAAGAGAGAGGGGGAAACCUUAAGGGCAUCUCAGAUGAGUAGGAUUCAUAGUCAAAUGUAUGCUGGACUGAUAUUUGUGUUUCUCAUAUUUUGGAUAAAACCAUCGGUAUGAUCUUAUCUACCAUCAGUUUGGGUUUCUAUUUUCUCUACUAAUUAGGUUGGAUCUACAAGUCUGUGUAUUGCAUUCUAAUAAGUUCAGAUUUCCUUGGGUUACAACAAAUCACUAAUUAUGGACGCUUAAACAGGAUGAAACAAGACUUUUGUUAUCUAAGGCUCAAGCUCAAUGAAGCAUUUGACACAAUCGACACGGCAGCUGGGUCCUCACCUGUCUCCACCCCCUAUCAUGUACUAACCAUUCUCAAUCUGUCUUGAUUAAGAUUGUGUGCUAGCUUCGUAUCAUGUACCUACUCUGUAGUUUUCUUUAUGCAAGUUCUGUAGCAGAUGGCAAGUACCACUCUGGAUUUCAGGAAAAAUGAUGAGAACAUGGAUGGAUCGUUUGUUUAUACUCCCUCCGUCUGGAAAUACUUGUCAUCAAAAUGAAUAAAAGGGGAUGUAUCUAGAUAUAUUUUAGUUCUAGAUACAUUCCUUUUUGUCCAUUUUGAUGACAAGUAUUUUCGGACGGAGGGAGUAUAUACCUAUUCUACUAUUUUCUUUAUCAAGCAUGUAAAUUUAAAGCACUGGUUUCAUAUGUCCUUUAUGAUUAUUCCUUGAAAUGAUAUAAGAGAUUCUGUUGGUGCUCUAUUAGCAUGAUUGUUGUGUGGGUUUCUGUUA
Triticum dicoccoides is the source of this 1755-nucleotide long non-coding RNA. RefSeq lists it as uncharacterized. The record is from RefSeq and is a predicted model, not a curated record. NCBI's taxonomy places the organism in Eukaryota, Viridiplantae, Streptophyta, Magnoliopsida, Poales, Poaceae. The transcript has 6 exons.